RNAcentral lists this ribosomal RNA (227 nucleotides) under uncultured bacterium. Its description in RNAcentral is "partial 16S ribosomal RNA". It matches the Rfam family "Bacterial small subunit ribosomal RNA", at positions 109 to 334 of the family's 1533-position model. The record is from RNAcentral.
AGUAACGCGUGAGGAACCUGCCUCAAAGAGGGGGACAACAGUUGGAAACGACUGCUAAUACCGCAUAAGCCCACAGCUCGGCAUCGAGCAGAGGGAAAAGGAGUGAUCCGCUUUGAGAUGGCCUCGCGUCCGAUUAGCUAGUUGGUGAGGUAACGGCCCACCAAGGCGACGAUCAGUAGCCGACCUGAGAGGGUGACCGGCCACAUUGGGACUGAGACACGGCCCAG